UCCUCUUUGAGAGGGACAAUGCCAGACAGUGAAUCAUGGAUGGCAUUUCUAUGGCAUCAUAAAUAAAAACUUUCCCUUGGUGUGAUGUCCUGUUCCCUGCUCUAGCUAUUUCGUCUUUGGACAUAGCACAAAAUGGAGCUAUAUAUUAAGAGGAAGAGUUGACAAGGUAGCUGAUAGGAAGGGAAAUGUUUCCUCAUGUGAACCAUGAGUACAAUAAAAUAAACUCAUGGCUUGAACCUUAAAGACA
RNAcentral lists this long non-coding RNA (247 nucleotides) under Anser brachyrhynchus (Pink-footed goose). RNAcentral's name for it is "lncRNA (ENSABRG00000001259.1)". The record is from RNAcentral. Lineage: Eukaryota; Metazoa; Chordata; Aves; Anseriformes; Anatidae.